UCGUAACGGUUAGCACAGUAGAGCUUGACUCUCGGGUGUACGUAGUUGGCGGAACGGGUGUACAUAAUGNUCNUGGGAAACUGCCUGUAUGGAGGGGGAUAACUACUUGUGAAACGGUAGCUAAUACCGCUAUAACGUCUUCGGACCAAAGUGGGGGACCUUCGGGCCUCACACCAUCGGAUGUGCCCANAUGGGAUUAGCUAGUAGGUGGGGUAAUGGCUCACCUAGGCGACGAUCCCUAGCUGGUCUGAGAGGAUGACCAGCCACACUGGAACUGAGACACGGUCCAGACUCCUACGGGAGGCAGCAGUGGGGAAUAUUGCACAAUGGGCGCAAGCCUGAUGCAGCCAUGCCGCGUGUAUGAAGAAGGCCUUCGGGUUGUAAAGUACUUUCAGCGGGGAGGAAGGCGAUAAGGUUAAUAACCUUNUCGAUUGACGUUACCCGCAGAAGAAGCACCGGCUAACUCCGUGCCAGCAGCCGCGGUAAUACGGAGGGUGCAAGCGUUAAUCGGAAUUACUGGGCGUAAAGCGCACGCAGNCGGUCUGUCAAGUCAGAUGUGAAAUCCCCGGGCUUAACCUGGGAACUGCAUUUGAAACUGGCAGGCUAGAGUCUUGUAGAGGGGGGUAGAAUUCCAGGUGUAGCGGUGAAAUGCGUANAGAUCUGGAGGAAUACCGGUGGCGAAGGCGGCCCCCUGGACAAAGACUGACGCUCAGGUGCGAAAGCGUGGGGGAGCAAACAGGAUUANAUACCCUGGUAGU
RNAcentral lists this ribosomal RNA (758 nucleotides) under Erwinia sp. RNAcentral describes it as "bacterial SSU rRNA". It matches the Rfam family "Bacterial small subunit ribosomal RNA", at positions 62 to 794 of the family's 1533-position model. The record is from RNAcentral. Lineage: Bacteria; Pseudomonadati; Pseudomonadota; Gammaproteobacteria; Enterobacterales; Erwiniaceae.